Molecule: ribosomal RNA, 244 nt
Filed under: Bacillus sp. ADB_BD081
Lineage: Bacteria; Bacillati; Bacillota; Bacilli; Caryophanales; Bacillaceae
Description: partial 16S ribosomal RNA
Rfam family: Bacterial small subunit ribosomal RNA
Source: RNAcentral
UAGGUCGAAAUUGAAAGGCGGCUUCGGCUGUCACUUAUGGAUGGACCCGCGUCGCAUUAGCUAGUUGGUGAGGUAACGGCUCACCAAGGCGACGAUGCGUAGCCGACCUGAGAGGGUGAUCGGCCACACUGGGACUGAGACACGGCCCAGACUCCUACGGGAGGCAGCAGUAGGGAAUCUUCCGCAAUGGACGAAAGUCUGACGGAGCAACGCCGCGUGAGUGAUGAAGGCUUUCGGGUCGUAA